UACGAGGGGGGGCGAGCGUUGUUCGGAAUUAUUGGGCGUAAAGGGUGCGCAGGCGGUUUGGUAAGUCUUGUGUGAAAUCUACAGGCUCAACUUGUAGUCUGCACGAGAAACUGCCGGGCUUGAGUAUGGGAGAGGUGAGUGGAAUUCCUGGUGUAGCGGUGAAAUGCGUAGAUAUCAGGAGGAACACCUGUGGCGAAAGCGGCUCACUGGACCAUAACUGACGCUGAUGCACGAAAGCUAGGGGAGCAAACAGG
This 254-nucleotide ribosomal RNA is filed under the name uncultured bacterium. Its description in RNAcentral is "partial 16S ribosomal RNA". It matches the Rfam family "Bacterial small subunit ribosomal RNA", at positions 524 to 776 of the family's 1533-position model. The record is from RNAcentral.